Molecule: RNA transcript, 555 nt
Organism: Musca domestica (house fly)
Lineage: Eukaryota; Metazoa; Arthropoda; Insecta; Diptera; Muscidae
Exons: 2
Source: RefSeq, a predicted model, not a curated record
AACAAACCAAAAGUUAUAUUAUCUUACUAUCGAUAUUGUCAUCGAUUGUUUGGCAGCACUAAGAUCAAACAAUAUUAUUUAUGUUUUUCCCCGACACAUCGCUCGAUUUGCUUUACUCGGUUAAAGCUUGUUUGCUUAGAGGAUCCUGGUUUUUAAAAUGGCGGUUUGGCAUUGGCUUUUAGGAAUCGGAUUGACUGCAAUUGUCGCAAUAGUUACCCAAUAUCGAGCGUUACCGUCGACGAAUUCAUAUUCUCGAAAGAACGAACAAUUUGUAGAUCCCGAUAAUAUAUGCCCCAUUUGCUUUGAGGUAAUGGAGUCCAGAGACAUGAAUUAUUUGCCAUGUAUGCAUGCCCUUCAUGACCACUGCUUAACACGAUUGAAAACGCACUCCAAAAAAUGUCCGAAGUGUCGUGCUCCAUUUUAAAUGUGAAAUUAAAAAAAAAACGUUGCCUUAGAUGUGUUUAUUGAAUAAAAUUUUUGGUUUCCCGUUCUUUAAAGUUAAAAAUAAAGAAAACUGAUUUGAUCAAAUAAAGGAAUUAAAAAUGGGCAGUGCAA